UAAUACGUAGGUGGCAAGCGUUGUCCGGAAUUACUGGGUGUAAAGGGCGUGUAGGCGGGACGGCAAGUCAGAUGUGAAAUACCUCGGCUUAACUGGGGUGCUGCAACUGAAACUGUCGUUCUUGAGUGUCGGAGAGGAAAGUGGAAUUCCCAGUGUAGCGGUGAAAUGCGUAGAGAUUGGGAGGAACACCAGUGGCGAAGGCGGCUUUCUGGACGAUAACUGACGCUGAGGCGCGAAAGCGUGGGUAGCGAACAGGAUUAGAUACCCUGGUAGUCCACGCCGUAAACGAUGGGUACUAGGUGUAGGAGGUAUCGACCCCUUCUGUGCCGGAGUUAACACAAUAAGUACCCCGCCUGGGGACUACGGCCGCAAGGCUAAAACUCAAAGGAAUUGACGGGGGCCCGCACAAGCGGUGGAGCAUGUGGUUUAAUUCGACGCAACGCGAAGAACCUUACCAGGGCUUGACAUCCUCUGAUGUCCAUAGAGAUAUGGAGUUCGAUCUUCGGAUUGACAGAGAGACAGGUGGUGCAUGGUUGUCGUCAGCUCGUGUCGUGAGAUGUUGGGUUAAGUCCCGCAACGAGCGCAACCCUUAUUCUUAGUUGCCAGCAUUAAGUUGGGCACUCUAAGGAGACUGCCGGUGACAAACCGGAGGAAGGUGGGGAUGACGUCAAAUCAUCAUGCCCUUUAUGUCCUGGGCUACACACGUGCUACAAUGGCCUGUACAGAGGGUAGCGAAGCUGUGAAGUGGAGCCAAUCCCAAAAAGCAGGUCUCAGUUCGAAUUGUAGGCUGCAACUCGCCUACAUGAAGUCGGAAUCGCUAGUAAUCGCGAAUCAGCAUGUCGCGGUGAAUACGUUCCCGGGCCUUGUACACACCGCCCGUCACACCACGAAAGUUGACAACACCCGAAGCCGGUGUACUAACCGUAAGGAAGAAGCCGUCGAAGGUGGGGCCGAUGAUUGGGGUG
This 965-nucleotide ribosomal RNA is filed under the name uncultured bacterium. RNAcentral describes it as "bacterial SSU rRNA". It matches the Rfam family "Bacterial small subunit ribosomal RNA", at positions 521 to 1482 of the family's 1533-position model. The record is from RNAcentral.